UCUGUUAUGUCAAUAAUGAGCAUGGGGGUU
RNAcentral lists this non-coding RNA (30 nucleotides) under Rattus norvegicus (Norway rat). Lineage: Eukaryota; Metazoa; Chordata; Mammalia; Rodentia; Muridae. The record is from RNAcentral.